GACGACCGGCCGCACACCUAUGUGUACGGCCCACAAGUGGAGGCUCCGAACUCCCACCUGACCGUCCUCCGGGACGGCGGGUCACCGGUCAGGCGGCCACCACCGUUCCGUACGGACGGUGGAGUCGCCCGAAAUCGCGCCCCGCGGUUGACGCGGCGGUGUUCCGGCAGUGGAGCCCCGCCUGUGUCCCGUCCGGGGCAUUUUUC
This 206-nucleotide non-coding RNA is filed under the name Streptomyces sp. DI166. RNAcentral describes it as "Streptomyces RNA 1601". It matches the Rfam family "Streptomyces RNA 1601". Rfam says of the family: Identified by deep sequencing of transcriptome at the end of exponential growth phase. Appears longer on northern blot than sequencing transcript. Lineage: Bacteria; Bacillati; Actinomycetota; Actinomycetes; Kitasatosporales; Streptomycetaceae. The record is from Rfam by way of RNAcentral.